AUCAGCUGUUCGCUUCAGCGAUUCUCAAUGUUAACAAGAAUUGCUGUUGCAAUUAUGAGCGGCUGUGUGCAGAGGGUAUAAUGUGCUUGUCUUAAGUCGAAAAUAAAUCGAAACCAUUAAUUAGAAAUCCAUUAGAACCAUGGGCUCCGAGAUCUCCGACAACGACGACGGCGGUUGGACCAGGAUCAAGGACUCCGGCGAAAGACUAUGAUCUUUUUGUGGCUCUGGAGGAAAUAACCAUAGGGUGUAACUGAGCAUUUUUCAUCAAUCGGCCGUGUGAUUCAACGGGAGAAGCCGCUGAACGUCGAGAUCCGUCCGAGCUGGAAGGGGGCACCAGGAUCAUCUUCCCAAAGGAGGGCGACGUGGUGCCCAACCGUGCGCCAGGCCUCACCCGAUCUUCCGCCGGAAGUGGUGUGGUUUACGCUACACGCGCUGAAGCAGGCGCGGUAUGAUACUUCCCUGGAAGUGGCGACGCUCUUGGAUGAGCCGCUGCAUCUCUCCACCCAUGCUGAGGUGAUCAGUCCGGACUCGUCGCUCCGCUUCCCGGGUCUGGGACUGCCCCAAACGGCUCGUGCGCGGCGGCUUAAUCGUCGUCUUCUUCAUCGAAUUCCCGACACGAUGUCAGAGAAGGCCAUAUCCUCGCUGUGCUUCAUCUUGCCCUGCUCCCCAUAAGACGCGGUUACAAGCUUAUGGGGUCCAGGGCAAGAGGAAUUAGAGCGGGGAUCUGGCCUUAUGUGACAUCGUUUUCGGAAAGUCGAUGAGGAAGUCGACGAUGAGGUCGCCGCGGCACGAGCCGUUUAUCGGACGGGACAGUCCCUGACCCGGGAAGCGGUGCGUGGAGUCCGGGCUGAUCACCUCACCCUGGGUGCUUAGGUGCAGGAGCUCGCCCAAGAGCGUCGGCAACUCCAGGAGGGUACCACACCACGCCUGCUUCAGUGAGAUCAGGGCUGUGUAGCGUAAGUCGCACCCCUCCCGGCGGAAGAUCGGGUGUGGCUUGUCCCGAAGAACGAGGACCACGUCGCCUGGGACUGCUCCAUCAGUCGCGGCUCGUGCCGCGGCGACCUCAUCGUCGACUUCUCCAUCGAAAACGAUGUCUCAUCCCGAAACGAUGUCACACAGGGCCAGAUCCUCUACUUCAUCUUGCCCUGCUCCCCAUGAGUCGCUGCCACAUCGAAAUUGACGGCGUUUUCAAGUACAUAAGCUUGUAAUACCAUUGUAUUCCCCACUAUAACAUAUCCAGUAUAAGAUGUAUCAGGAUUAAGCGUCGGUGGAGCGUGUCUUCAACUAAGGAUUGUGUGAAAGCGCCAUCUUGGCGCUGCUGAUGGACGAAUGUACAUGGAGCGGGAGCGGUUCCCAAAAUAUAAAAAAAUAAAAUAAAAUAGAAACUCCUUAAUUCCGGCAAGUUCUUUUGGGCAGCUCGCUUUAACAUAUUAAAGUACUGAUUAAAUUACUGGGUAUAAGCGUUUUGGAUCAAAAGCGAUUUUAUACCUCUUGAAGAAUUCGCUGUUGAACACAAAAUAUGUAAAAGAAAUAAUCAAAAUAGAAACAAGUAUAUCUCUAUAUGUUCUUUGGGUUUCUUUGGGCAGCUUUAAGCCAUGAUACCAAGACGGUAGCCCAUCUGAGCACUAGAACGCCAUAAAAGGCUCCCAACGAUAAAAUCGGCUUCAGGGCACCCAUUCACAUAUGUUAGUAUACAACUGAUCCUGAAAAUAAAAUAUUUUUCGCAGAGAUAAAGGUAUUAUUCUUAUAUAUAACCAUAGUUGGUGUAAUUUAAAGUACUAAAUCGAUUUAAUGAUACUAAUUUAGCAUUAUACCACUUAAGAUAUAUAGACAAAGCGGAUUUGGCAAAAAAAGCAACCAAAUAGGUUAAGUUUUAACGAAAUAGUUAUUAAUAACACAAGUGUGCCAAGACUUUUGUGCAGCUAAUUUUAAAAUUUUAGUUUUAAGUGAUAAUUCAAUAAAGCAAAAUUAAUUUAUUUGUUAAAUAUUCCCAUUAUCCAAAAUAACUUUGUUGAUUUAUAUAAAAAUACCAAAAGUCAUAGCCCCUAUACAAAAUUACAUAGAUUGCCCAUACAAAGAUUACCAAACUCCAUAUUCUAGAUGUCAUUUCCUGCAGCGGUUCCAGCUCUUUGGCCGAAACCAUGUCGAAUUCUUGCACAAAGUAGUAAAAAUGUUUAUAGCAGGCAUUUACGUGGGCUUCCUAAAUCAACGUAAAUGUUAAUUAAUUUGAUA
Drosophila subpulchrella is the source of this 2232-nucleotide long non-coding RNA. RefSeq lists it as uncharacterized. The transcript has 3 exons. The record is from RefSeq and is a predicted model, not a curated record. Lineage: Eukaryota; Metazoa; Arthropoda; Insecta; Diptera; Drosophilidae.